Molecule: non-coding RNA, 96 nt
Organism: Trametes meyenii
Lineage: Eukaryota; Fungi; Basidiomycota; Agaricomycetes; Polyporales; Polyporaceae
Source: the annotation of a GenBank genome assembly
GGCGAUAUGGCCGAGCGGUCUAAGGCGCUAGAAUCAGGUGGCUGAGUCUAUCUUAUCUAGUCCUCACGGGCGUGGGUUCGAAUCCCACUGUCGUCA